RNAcentral lists this long non-coding RNA (378 nucleotides) under Androctonus crassicauda. Lineage: Eukaryota; Metazoa; Arthropoda; Arachnida; Scorpiones; Buthidae. The record is from RNAcentral.
GUGAUUUGAUUCUGAAUAUUAUAUUUUUAUUUCAUUUACAGUCGAGCCCCGAUUUAACGAAUCCGGAAUUAAUGAAUUUCGCGAUUCAACGAAUUGUUUUCAUGGUCCCGACACGAAUUGAUUAAAAUUCCCGGAUUUAACGAACGCUCAAUGGAAUGUUUUUUAGAAAAAGAAUCGCAUAUUGGAGAAAAAUGUGCAAAAUCACUUCCAAGAAAACUAUUAUACGUAUUCAUUUAGACAUGAAUCAGUAUAAGUUUAAAACCUGGGGCUGUAUUCUGAUCACUGUAUCUCUCAGAGACAAAAGACGUGUCUACGUCAGUACAUACGUACUGUACUGUACACUGUAUUGUAACUGUAUGUUCUUAAAAUUUUAAUUUA